Molecule: long non-coding RNA, 2102 nt
Organism: Parus major (Great Tit)
Lineage: Eukaryota; Metazoa; Chordata; Aves; Passeriformes; Paridae
Source: Ensembl
AUGGAGAAUGUCACAAGGAGACCGUGCCACACGCAGAGAAACGCUGCUGGUUGCCAUAAGCUCGUCUAUGUCAGGCUUUCCGUGGUGCAAAGGGCAGAUCCUGGUGCAGUCACUGUGUCCUCCGUGGCCUUCCUGCAUGGAACCCUCCAGGCUGCGGGUACCGAGAGCGGCUGGGCAGUGUCAGAGCCCGUUUGCUGUGUGAAGCUGCUGCCACACGGGACAAGAGAAAAGCUCUGUGUGUUUCUGAAGUGCUGUAACUGCCCAAAACACAUAUUCCCAAUAUCCAAGAGGAAUUCAAACCUGUUGCCAAACUGCUUUUCUCAGCUGUUUUUUGUGAUGUGUAUGAAUGUGGAGGAAGCACCAAAAACCACUGAAACAAGCAGUGGUGGAGGCAGGUAUGAAAGACACUUGGUUAAAAUGCAAGUGCAUGGUGUUUUGCAAAAGCUUCGAUUAGUUUAAUUGUUCCUGUUGAAUUAAUGCAAUCCUACAUUUCAAUAAGCUCCUGAGGUAUGACUCUUAAACUAAUUUUCUUAGGAGAGUAUCAAAGUCUGGCUGACUGUUCUUUCUAACUCUAGACAGUGCUGAAAGGGACAAUGCAAAAUCAUCUCAGCUGGUUUGAUGUAAACCACCACAGUCUAAAUCAAGCAAAGGCACUGUCAGCUUGCUCUCCUGCACAUGCUAAACCAGUCUUAGUGGGAAACUGUCCUAGAGCCAGCUUGCCUUGCCUAGUUAGAGCAUGUUUUAGUGCUCAGACACACGAUCAUUAGGGGAUCACACCAGCCAAACAUCUUCACGUUGCCUUUAAUCAGUGGCAAAGGAAGAUGUUUUCUGGUAUGCAAUUUGACUCUUAUUCUGUCACAGAUCUUAUUCUGUUACAAUUCUGGGAGCUAGUUUUGAGAGAAGAAGCCCCCAGAAGCAAGCAUUGGUCAUGAUUGAAGGAAUAUGUGUGUGCCAACCCGGCUCAUCUCAUCAAGUUGUUAUAAGUGUGAAAAUCACUGCAACAAAACCAUGGAGCUGCAUUAAUGUCAGCAGCAGGGGAAAGCUGGCAGUGCAGUAAAGGAAAAAGAGUGUGCCAACACUUGGGAGCCUCAAAAUCUUCAUCUAGUGGGCAAGACCUUUGAGCGUCAUUCCUCUUUUGAGUAUAUAACACACACAGGGACUUGUGUUCCCUUCACUGAAGGCUAAUACUAGCCCAGUGGGCUUCCCCUGCAGAAAACCUAUCUAGUGUGUUAUCAUGGAGAUGGGAAGGUUAAGGUUGUCCUGUGUGCCAUAUACAAGGCAGCUCUGCAAGGGCAGAGUGCAUUACAGGCCCUGUGCAGGCAGCAGCAUCUUAAAAUAUACUCUCAGAUUAUGAAGCACACAGAGAUGUAUGUUCCUUUGAGGUCAUCUCUCAAACUGAUAGAAAACCAGUGUAUUUAGUUCAAACGAAUGGCAUUUGGGUACAUGCUAUAGCCUAAAUCCAGACUCAAGAUCCCCAAGGAAAAUCUGGAAUAAUCCAGUUGAAGGGCUGUAUAUUUGAUAUGGAGCCUCCCGCUGGUGUGUGGCCUUGCCUGUGCUCUCACAGGAAAGAAUGCCUCCAGCGGGAUGAACCAAGGAAUGCCUCCAGUGGGAUGAACCAAGGAAUGCCUCCAGUGGGAUGAACCAAGGAAUUCCUCCAGCAGGAUGAACCAGGAGUGCCUCCAGUGGGAUGAACCAAGGAAUUCCUCCAGUGGGAUGAACCAAGGAGUGCCUACAGCAGGAUGAACCAAGGAGUGCCUCCAGGGGGGUGAACCAAGGAAUGCCUCCAGCAGGAUGAACCAAGGAGUGCCUCCAGUGGGAUGAACCAGCUGUGGCAGGUAUCACCCUGGUUUACAUGGCCUGACCCCAGCUGAAGAUCAGGCUCUACGUGACUUGGGAACACACCACAUUUUUUUUCCAUAGCACAGCAGCAACUGCUGUGUGCUGUAUUUUGAGGGGUGAGUUGAAAGGAUUGCUGUCGACAAGCAGCAUUGCAUGGGGAGCAUUCCCCUGCUGUGAUGUGGAGGGACUUAGGUGUGUAACUCCUUACGCAGCUGCAUAGUAGAUACAAUAAACUGGUUUUGCAUCAGUCCCUAAUACUUUAU